This 490-nucleotide ribosomal RNA is filed under the name uncultured bacterium. RNAcentral's name for it is "partial 16S ribosomal RNA". It matches the Rfam family "Bacterial small subunit ribosomal RNA", at positions 28 to 507 of the family's 1533-position model. The record is from RNAcentral.
GAUGAACGCUAGCGGCAGGCCUAAUACAUGCAAGUCGAACGGGAUCCAGAUCAAAGCUUGCUUUGGUCUGGUGAGAGUGGCGCACGGGUGCGUAACGCGUGAGCAACCUACCCUUGUCAGGGGGAUAGCCCGGCGAAAGUCGGAUUAAUACCGCAUGACAUCAUUGAGAGGCAUCUUUCGAUGAUCAAAGAUUUAUCGGACAAGGAUGGGCCCGCGUGACAUUAGCUAGUUGGUAAGGUAACGGCUUACCAAGGCUGCGAUGUCUAGGGGCUCUGAGAGGAGAAUCCCCCACACUGGUACUGAGACACGGACCAGACUCCUACGGGAGGCAGCAGUAAGGAAUAUUGGUCAAUGGACGGAAGUCUGAACCAGCCAUGCCGCGUGCAGGAAGACGGCCCUAUGGGUUGUAAACUGCUUUUAUACGGGAACAAACGUCGGUACGUGUACCGGUCUGAGUGUACCGUAAGAAUAAGGAUCGGCUAACUCCGUG